CUCUAGGGUGGAAGGCUGCGGGCGUCCUACCAGUGCCAGGACUGCCAGAGCGGGAGGAGCGCGGCGCGGGCCAGCCGGGACUGCUGGACAGCGGGGUCCAGGCUAGAGGCGAGCGAGCGGUCCACCUCCUAACAAAUUAUUGGAAGGAAUAUGAGAAAAGUGAUCAGUUUGAAAUUCAGCUAACCCAGCAGCUAUGGUCCCUCAUCCCCAAUGAGGAUGUGAGAAGGUUCAUGUCUCAUGUUAUCUGGACCUUGAAAAUGGAAUGUUCAGAAACACAUGUGCAAGGGACCUGUGCCAAGCUCAUGUCACGAACAGGCCUCCUGAUGAAGCUUCUCAGCGAGCAGCAGGAAGCAAAGGCAUCCAAGGCAGAAUGGUCUGUAGACCAAUGGAAAACUGAUGAGACUCCAUCUUAAAAAAAAAAGAAAAAAAAAAUGGCCAGCAGGAUGCAGUGGCUCAUACCUAUAAUCCCAGCACUUUGGGAGGCUGAGGCAGGUGGAUCACCUGAGGUCAGGAGUUCGA
Molecule: long non-coding RNA, 519 nt
Filed under: Homo sapiens (human)
Lineage: Eukaryota; Metazoa; Chordata; Mammalia; Primates; Hominidae
Description: non-protein coding EP300-AS1:17
Source: RNAcentral